GAACGGGCUUGGAAUAAUCAGCGGGGAAAGAAACCCUGUUGAGCUUGACUCUAGUCCGACUUUGUGAAAGAACAUGGGGGGUGUAGCGUAGGUGGGAGCUUCGGCGACAAUGAAACACCACUACCCUUAUCGUUUUUUUACUUAUUUAAUGAGGCGGGAGCGCGGUCACCACCGCACCUUCUCGAUUUAAGCCUUCGGGUGACCCGAGUUAAAGACAUUGUCAGGUGGGGAGUUUGGCUGGGGCGGUACAUCUGUUAAACAAUAACACAGGUGUC
This 275-nucleotide ribosomal RNA is filed under the name Proboscia inermis. RNAcentral's name for it is "partial Eukaryotic large subunit ribosomal RNA". It matches the Rfam family "Eukaryotic large subunit ribosomal RNA", at positions 2377 to 2662 of the family's 3401-position model. The record is from RNAcentral. Lineage: Eukaryota; Bacillariophyta; Melosirophyceae; Probosciales; Probosciaceae.